RNAcentral lists this ribosomal RNA (1906 nucleotides) under Cronobacter sakazakii. RNAcentral describes it as "bacterial LSU rRNA". It matches the Rfam family "Bacterial large subunit ribosomal RNA", at positions 447 to 2340 of the family's 2925-position model. The record is from RNAcentral. Lineage: Bacteria; Pseudomonadati; Pseudomonadota; Gammaproteobacteria; Enterobacterales; Enterobacteriaceae.
GGGGGACCAUCCUCCAAGGCUAAAUACUCCUGACUGACCGAUAGUGAACCAGUACCGUGAGGGAAAGGCGAAAAGAACCCCGGCGAGGGGAGUGAAACAGAACCUGAAACCGUGUACGUACAAGCAGUGGGAGCCUUCGUAAGAGGGUGACUGCGUACCUUUUGUAUAAUGGGUCAGCGACUUAUAUUCUGUAGCAAGGUUAACCGUAUAGGGGAGCCGAAGGGAAACCGAGUCUUAACCGGGCGUUAAGUUGCAGGGUAUAGACCCGAAACCCGGUGAUCUAGCCAUGGGCAGGUUGAAGGUUGGGUAACACUAACUGGAGGACCGAACCGACUAAUGUUGAAAAAUUAGCGGAUGACCUGUGGCUGGGGGUGAAAGGCCAAUCAAACCGGGAGAUAGCUGGUUCUCCCCGAAAGCUAUUUAGGUAGCGCCUCGUGAACUCAUCUCCGGGGGUAGAGCACUGUUUCGGCUAGGGGGCCAUCCCGGCUUACCAACCCGAUGCAAACUGCGAAUACCGGAGAAUGUUAUCACGGGAGACACACGGCGGGUGCUAACGUCCGUCGUGAAGAGGGAAACAACCCAGACCGCCAGCUAAGGUCCCAAAGUCAUGGUUAAGUGGGAAACGAUGUGGGAAGGCCCAGACAGCCAGGAUGUUGGCUUAGAAGCAGCCAUCAUUUAAAGAAAGCGUAAUAGCUCACUGGUCGAGUCGGCCUGCGCGGAAGAUGUAACGGGGCUAAACCAUGCACCGAAGCUGCGGCAGCGACACUAUGUGUUGUUGGGUAGGGGAGCGUUCUGUAAGCCUGCGAAGGUGUGCUGUGAGGCAUGCUGGAGGUAUCAGAAGUGCGAAUGCUGACAUAAGUAACGAUAAAGCGGGUGAAAAGCCCGCUCGCCGGAAGACCAAGGGUUCCUGUCCAACGUUAAUCGGGGCAGGGUGAGUCGACCCCUAAGGCGAGGCCGAAAGGCGUAGUCGAUGGGAAACAGGUUAAUAUUCCUGUACUUGGUGUUACUGCGAAGGGGGGACGGAGAAGGCUAUGUCGGCCGGGCGACGGUUGUCCCGGUUUAAGCGUGUAGGCUGACUUUCCAGGCAAAUCCGGAAGGUUAAGGCUGAGGCGUGAUGACGAGGCACUACGGUGCUGAAGUGACAAAUGCCCUGCUUCCAGGAAAAGCCUCUAAGCAUCAGGUAACAUUAAAUCGUACCCCAAACCGACACAGGUGGUCAGGUAGAGAAUACCAAGGCGCUUGAGAGAACUCGGGUGAAGGAACUAGGCAAAAUGGUGCCGUAACUUCGGGAGAAGGCACGCUGACAUGUAGGUGAAGCCCCUGCGGGUGGAGCUGAAGUCAGUCGAAGAUACCAGCUGGCUGCAACUGUUUAUUAAAAACACAGCACUGUGCAAACACGAAAGUGGACGUAUACGGUGUGACGCCUGCCCGGUGCCGGAAGGUUAAUUGAUGGGGUUAUCGCAAGAGAAGCUCCUGAUCGAAGCCCCGGUAAACGGCGGCCGUAACUAUAACGGUCCUAAGGUAGCGAAAUUCCUUGUCGGGUAAGUUCCGACCUGCACGAAUGGCGUAAUGAUGGCCAGGCUGUCUCCACCCGAGACUCAGUGAAAUUGAACUCGCUGUGAAGAUGCAGUGUACCCGCGGCAAGACGGAAAGACCCCGUGAACCUUUACUACAGCUUGACACUGAACAUUGAGCCUUGAUGUGUAGGAUAGGUGGGAGGCUUUGAAGCGUGGACGCCAGUCUGCGUGGAGCCAACCUUGAAAUACCACCCUUUAAUGUUUGAUGUUCUAACCUGGCGCCCUGAUCGGGCGUGGGGACAGUGUCUGGUGGGUAGUUUGACUGGGGCGGUCUCCUCCCAAAGUGUAACGGAGGAGCACGAAGGUCAGCUAAUCCUGGUCGGACAUCA